UGGGCUUGACAUCUUGGGGAAGACCAUGGUUUCUCACGGUCUUCCCCAAGAUGUCAAGCCCAGGUAAGGUUCUUCGCGUUGCGUCGAAUUAAACCACAUGCUCCACCGCUUGUGCGGGCCCCCGUCAAUUCCUUUGAGUUUCAGCCUUGCGGCCGUACUCCCCAGGCGGGGCACUUAAUGCGUUAGCGCCGGCACCCAGGGGGUCGCUCCCCCAGGCACCUAGUGCCCAUCGUUUACGGCGUGGACUAC
Molecule: unclassified non-coding RNA, 249 nt
Filed under: uncultured Gemmatimonadaceae bacterium
Lineage: Bacteria; Pseudomonadati; Gemmatimonadota; Gemmatimonadia; Gemmatimonadales; Gemmatimonadaceae
Description: contains 16S-23S intergenic spacer region
Source: RNAcentral